This 166-nucleotide unclassified non-coding RNA is filed under the name uncultured Cordycipitaceae. Its description in RNAcentral is "sequence contains ITS1". Lineage: Eukaryota; Fungi; Ascomycota; Sordariomycetes; Hypocreales; Cordycipitaceae. The record is from RNAcentral.
CUGAGUUUUCGAACUCCCAAACCUUUGUGAACAUACCACUGUUGCUUCGGCGGUCCCGCCCCGGGCGCGACGUCUCGUACGCCGCGUCCCGGACCCAGGCGCCCGCCGAGGGUACCAAACUCUUGAUUUUAUAGCGGAAUUCUGAGUAUCAUUUUUAAAUAAAUUA